UUGGUGGGGGAGCACCACAACGGGUGGAGCGUGCGGUUUAAUUGGACUCAACGCCGGGCAGCUCACCGGAUAGGACAGCGGAAUGAUAGCCGGGCUGAAGACCUUGCUUGACCAGCUGAGAGGAGGUGCAUGGCCGUCGUCAGUUCGUACUGUGAAGCAUCCUGUUUAGUCAGGCAACGAGCGAGACCCACGCCAACAGUUGCUAGCAUGUUCUCCGGAAUGAUGAGGACACUGUUGGGACCGCCUCUGCUAAAGAGGAGGAAGGAAUGGGCAACGGUAGGUCAGCAUGCCCCGAAUUAUCCGGGCUACACGCGGGCUACAAUGGUCAGGACAAUGGGAAACGGCACUGAAAAGUGUAGUCAAUCUCCUAAACCUGUCCCAAGUUCGGAUUGUGGGCUGCAACUCGCCCACAUGAAGCUGGAAUCCGUAGUAAUCGCGUUCAAAAUAGCGCGGGAAUAAGUCCCUGCUCCUGCACACACCGU
RNAcentral lists this ribosomal RNA (482 nucleotides) under uncultured bacterium. RNAcentral describes it as "bacterial SSU rRNA". It matches the Rfam family "Archaeal small subunit ribosomal RNA", at positions 865 to 1349 of the family's 1478-position model. The record is from RNAcentral.